GAAUUUGUAAAACUGUCACAUCAUGGCAUUAAUAGCACAUAAAAAGAGUAAUAAAUACCAAAGUAAAGAUUACUCUGAAACAAGGGAUAAAAGGAGGGGUUCAAUGGGUAAAGAACAUCUAAGAACAUUUGAAACAUUAAGAAUCAGAGUAUUUUGUAGGAUGCUGUUGCGAUCCGAUUCUAGCGCUUCAAGACUUAGGAUCUCCAACCCUUCCGAUCUCUCAGGAUCGUAUCCUCGACAAAAGGUAUGAACACACAGACAUAGUUCUUACUGGAUCUCCGUGGAGAUUUCCU
RNAcentral lists this long non-coding RNA (293 nucleotides) under Arachis ipaensis. Its description in RNAcentral is "long non-coding RNA (AIPA_LNC001335)". The record is from RNAcentral. Lineage: Eukaryota; Viridiplantae; Streptophyta; Magnoliopsida; Fabales; Fabaceae.